This 515-nucleotide unclassified non-coding RNA is filed under the name Crupina crupinastrum. Its description in RNAcentral is "partial external transcribed spacer". Lineage: Eukaryota; Viridiplantae; Streptophyta; Magnoliopsida; Asterales; Asteraceae. The record is from RNAcentral.
GCAUUCUGGGGGCUGUUUUGGCUUUUGGUUGCUUGCUUGGCCUUUUGGUUGGGUGGGUCGCUAAAAGUUGUCCGGCUUUCGGGAAUGCCGACCGUAAAGGUGCAUGAGUGGUGUUUGGUUUGCUACGGGUGGUUGGCUGUAUGCUUGCGCAACAACGUCCACCCUGCUUACCUCUUCAGUUUUGCAUCAAGACUCGGUUUGUCUUGAGCAUAUUGUGGGUUUCCUGUGUUGCAUACCUAAUCGAUGGUAACGUGUGGGUUUUAUGAUUUCCCUUUUCGUCGUGCGUCGUUCAAGCGGCGUGGGACGAACAAUGGAGCGGGCUUUGUGAUCCACCUUGUUGUUGCAGUUGCAACAACAACGUGGCCUAUGAAGUGUUGUUCGGUCUCUUGUUUACAGAUCUUUAUGUGGGCAUGGGUCUUACUAGAUCUUCAUUAUGCCCUUGUUAAGCGGUAUUGCUUCUCCAAAACGAUUGUCUACCAUGUUAAGGCUUGUCCUUGCAUGGUGGGCUAUAUCGA